UGUAAAUCAAACCAUCACGCUGUACAACUUAAACUUAUACAGUGAUGUAUGUCAAUUAUUUCUCAAUAAAACUGGAAAAAAAGAGAAAGUAGCCAUAGACAUUAUGUAAAGAAAAGAGUGUGACUGUAUUCCGAGAAAACUUAAUUUACCUACUACUUUAUUUAUUACUCUAUGUAUGUAUUGAUGGGUGGUAGAUGGGCCAGAUUUGUUUGGCUCACAAGUUAUAGUUUGGCAACUUUUGGUCCAAAAGAAUAGAAUUCUCCAGACUCUAAAUCCUGCUUUCUUUUCUGUGGGCUGUUACAAAUAAAUGAAUAAAACAUAAACUCUGGGACUUUCCAUACUAAUUGGCUUGUGCUCACAAAUGAGGACUCAAAAGGAAGAAAAAUACCAUCCCUGAAUGACAGAGUCCCUGCCCCCUCCAUUCCUCACAUCUCCACUUGUGACAAAUGGAUCCACGAGUGAUAUGGGCAUGGCAUCUUCACAUCACUCUACUCUGUGACGUAGACACCAUUAAAAAUAGCGCAUCCCAACUGUAAACAAACAUGACCUCUAAACAAAGUCGGAAAGGUGGGGAGGGGGUCAAAAAGGAAAGGUAUUUCUUGGAAAAUCUCUUUCAAAAGAGGACGCUAUCAUACAUGGUCCUGGGCAGAAUUGUUUUUAAGUCAAUCUUUUGGUUUCAAAUCCUUCAGAUGAAGGAUUUAAAAUUACGAAUUAAUUUUAAUUAGUUCCUAAUUAAAUUAGCUCCUAAUUUAACUAGUUCCUAAUUAAUCUUGGUUAGUAGAUUAAUCAACCAAAAUAAAUAAAAGUUAGUAAUCUAAUAUUUACUGAGCCUUUAGUUCACGUCAGGCAUUCUGAUACAACAUGCAAUAUCACAUUGGAUCUGCGCAAAACCCCAAAGAGUUUCCCAGAAAACAGCCCUAUAAACCCAGGACAGAAUGAAUGGAGAGGCUGUUUGAGGACUCUGAGAGACAAACGCUAGCAGGCAGACUGAGGAAGAAGACCACCAAACUGGCAAGACUGACCAUUUUCUUCCUCUGUGGUAUCCCUGGGCCUGAGCUCAACCGGGCCUGGAACCCGGAAGCGGGCAUUGGUGUGAACAGAGUUCCAGAAGUCCUCUAGAUCUGGCUCAGGAACAGAAGAGGGAACUCUGAAAUCUCAGAGAGGAUGCAGAGGUCCCCCUGCCUCUACUUCUCUUCCCUCCAUCUUCUUGCACCCCAUGAUCCUGUGGCAGCAGUCACAACGGCUGCGACUCGAUAGGAGCCAGAAUUCUGAGAGAAGGGAGCCUUCCUCCGCAGUCAAUGGAGCUGUGAUCCCAAGAGGGUGGGGCAAACCUGGUUGCCUGUUUUUUUUUCUCUUUCCAAUCUUCUACCGCUUGGCCCUGUGGAUGCCGGAGUAGAGUAACUAAAACAUCUUGGCCAGAGGACCAAAGAGGGGAGCACAGGGAACCAGAAGUUACAAGAAGAUGGCAGAGAGGAACGAGCUCAGAUGAGAAAACUGAGGCAUGCGGAGUUUCUAUCGCUUCCCGGCGUUCACACAAUUUCACCAGGACUCAAAACCUGUGUUCCUAACCACUAGACGAUGAUGAUUGAAAAUGUCUCCAGUCUCAGGAGAACCUUCUGGAAACCAUGUUGCCUGUCUAAAAACAAAGAAGAGAAGUAAUUUGAAGCAGAAAUUCCAGCUUCCUUCUGGCUCUGCAUUUCAAGGGAAUGCUAACCCAGCUGUUUGUUUUUCUUUUUGACAGUUUGUUUUGUCUGUGAAAUAUAAACACUGAAAUUUUUCAGUAUAUGCACUGCCUCUGACAUAUUCCCUAGAGCCAUAGCAUCCAAACUUUUUUGAUCACAUACCCAUUAGCAAAUAUUUUUGAGUAUUACUCCUAAUAUAUGUGGAUUUAUUUAUAAGUGAUAUACCUAUACUACAAUAUUUAUAUAUUGUGUGCAUCCCAAACAGCAUCUAAUAAAAGGAAAACAGGAUGAAAUAAUAUUUUAAAAUAACAUUUCUUAAAAUAGUACAAAAUCAUUUUUUAUUUCAUUAAGAAAUAAUGUGAGCAAUGUUACUGAAUAUGCUU
This 2065-nucleotide long non-coding RNA is filed under the name Equus asinus (donkey). RNAcentral's name for it is "lncRNA (ENSEASG00005028479.1)". The record is from RNAcentral. Lineage: Eukaryota; Metazoa; Chordata; Mammalia; Perissodactyla; Equidae.